This 292-nucleotide ribosomal RNA is filed under the name uncultured bacterium. RNAcentral's name for it is "partial 16S ribosomal RNA". It matches the Rfam family "Bacterial small subunit ribosomal RNA", at positions 505 to 796 of the family's 1533-position model. The record is from RNAcentral.
GUGUCAGCAGCCGCGGUAAUACGUAGGGGGCAAGCGUUGUCCGGAUUUAUUGGGCGUAAAGAGCGUGUAGGCGGCCAGGUAGGUCGGCUGUGAAAACUGGAGGCUCAACCUCCAGCUGUCGGCCGAAACCAUCUGGCUAGAGUCCGGGAGAGGAGAGUGGAAUUCCUGGUGUAGCGGUGAAAUGCGCAGAUAUCAGGAAGAACACCCGUGGCGAAAGCGGCUCUCUGGAACGGUACUGACGCUGAGACGCGAAAGCGUGGGGAGCGAACAGGAUUAGAAACCCUAGUAGUCC